RNAcentral lists this ribosomal RNA (253 nucleotides) under uncultured bacterium. RNAcentral's name for it is "partial 16S ribosomal RNA". It matches the Rfam family "Bacterial small subunit ribosomal RNA", at positions 524 to 776 of the family's 1533-position model. The record is from RNAcentral.
UACGAAGGGGGCUAGCGUUGUUCGGAAUUACUGGGCGUAAAGGGCGCGUAGGCGGCCUUCUAAGCCGAACGUGAAAUCCCCGGGCUCAACCCGGGAACUGCGUCCGAUACUGGAAGGCUUGAAUCCGGGAGAGGGAUGUGGAAUUCCAGGUGUAGCGGUGAAAUGCGCAGAUAUCGGGAGGAACACCAGUAGCGAAGGCGGCUCGCUGGGCCACUCCUGACGCUGAGACGCGAAAGCUAGGGGAGCGAACAGG